Molecule: ribosomal RNA, 433 nt
Filed under: uncultured bacterium
Lineage: Bacteria
Description: partial 16S ribosomal RNA
Rfam family: Bacterial small subunit ribosomal RNA
Source: RNAcentral
AACGAACGCUGGCGGCAUGCCUAACACAUGCAAGUCGAACGAGACCUUCGGGUCUAGUGGCGCACGGGUGCGUAACGCAUGGGAACCUGCCCUUAGGUUCGGAAUAACUCCCCGAAAGGGGUGCUAAUACCGGAUAAUGUCUUCGGACCAAAGAUUUAUCGCCUUUGGAUGGGCCCGCGUUGGAUUAGCUAGUUGGUAGGGUAAAAGCCUACCAAGGCGACGAUCCAUAGCUGGUCUGAGAGGAUGAUCAGCCACACUGGGACUGAGACACGGCCCAGACUCCUACGGGAGGCAGCAGUGGGGAAUAUUGGACAAUGGGCGAAGGCCUGAUCCAGCAAUGCCGCGUGAGUGAUGAAGGCCUUAGGGUUGUAAAGCUCUUUUACCCGGGAUGAUAAUGACAGUACCGGGAGAAUAAGCUCCGGCUAACUCCGUG